GAUCGGCAGCAUAUCAAAACAUGCACAAGUUUAAACUGCUGAUCCAUUUAUUUUGUUUACUUAUGCGCGGAUCUGCUGUUUGCCAGCUUAACUCCGUUUUAUUAAAGCGCUAGUCAACCAGUGAACCACAAAAAUGUCCAUGAAUUCCGGCCCGCUUCAAAUCAGUAUUGCGUUCGAAGUUCCACAUAACAUCUUUAGCCACAUUACCGGACAGGGCGGAGUGAACAUUUCUAAAAUCCGGCGUGCAUCAGGUGCAUUAAUUCUGAUCGCACCUACAAAAACGCCUACGAUGUAUCGGAUGCGCAUUUCCGGUCCACCGCAUGCGGUGGUCAAGGCGCGAGAGAUGAUGGGUGCCUUUUUGAACAGUGUCUAGCCGUUCGGAAAAUCCUGCUGCUUUUGCGCAAGCUAACAGCAGUUGGUAUGAUGUUCACAACCAACAGUCAGUGAGAAAACAAAACGAUUUAUAUAACAUUCAAAAAUAAAAAAUAAGGUACUAUAUAACUGUUGAAGAAAAGUUGUUACCUGUUACUGUAUUCACUAAGAAUCACAUCAGCUGCUUUCUCUGCCACGGCAACUACAACCGAAUUCGGUGUCCCGGAAACUG
Wyeomyia smithii (pitcher-plant mosquito) is the source of this 604-nucleotide long non-coding RNA. RefSeq lists it as uncharacterized. The record is from RefSeq and is a predicted model, not a curated record. The transcript is spliced from 3 exons. Lineage: Eukaryota; Metazoa; Arthropoda; Insecta; Diptera; Culicidae.